RNAcentral lists this ribosomal RNA (253 nucleotides) under uncultured bacterium. RNAcentral describes it as "partial 16S ribosomal RNA". It matches the Rfam family "Bacterial small subunit ribosomal RNA", at positions 524 to 776 of the family's 1533-position model. The record is from RNAcentral.
UACGAAGGGGGCUAGCGUUGUUCGGAAUUAUUGGGCGUAAAGGGUGCGUAGGCGGCCUGACAAGUCUGAUGUGAAAUCCCUGGGCUCAACCCAGGGCCUGCAUCGGAAACUGUCGGGCUUGAGUAUGGGAGAGGUGAGUGGAAUUUCCGGUGUAGCGGUGAAAUGCGUAGAUAUCGGAAGGAACACCUGUGGCGAAAGCGGCUCACUGGACCAUUACUGACGCUGAGGCACGAAAGCUAGGGGAGCAAACAGG